This 468-nucleotide ribosomal RNA is filed under the name uncultured bacterium. RNAcentral describes it as "partial 16S ribosomal RNA". It matches the Rfam family "Bacterial small subunit ribosomal RNA", at positions 28 to 507 of the family's 1533-position model. The record is from RNAcentral.
GACGAACGCUGGCGGCGUGCUUAACACAUGCAAGUCGAACGGAAAGGCCCUGCUUUUGUGGGGUGCUCGAGUGGCGAACGGGUGAGUAACACGUGAGUAACCUGCCCUUGACUUUGGGAUAACUUCAGGAAACUGGGGCUAAUACCGGAUAGGAGCUCCUGCUGCAUGGUGGGGGUUGGAAAGUUUCGGCGGUUGGGGAUGGACUCGCGGCUUAUCAGCUUGUUGGUGGGGUAGUGGCUUACCAAGGCUUUGACGGGUAGCCGGCCUGAGAGGGUGACCGGCCACAUUGGGACUGCGAUACGGCCCAGACUCCUACGGGAGGCAGCAGUGGGGAAUAUUGCACAAUGGGCGGAAGCCUGAUGCAGCAACGCCGCGUGCGGGAUGACGGCCUUCGGGUUGUAAACCGCUGUCGCCUGUGACGAAGCGUGAGUGACGGUAAUGGGUAAAGAAGCACCGGCUAACUACGUG